This 462-nucleotide unclassified non-coding RNA is filed under the name Hevea brasiliensis (rubber tree). The record is from RNAcentral. Lineage: Eukaryota; Viridiplantae; Streptophyta; Magnoliopsida; Malpighiales; Euphorbiaceae.
GAUCUUCCAUCUAAAUAGUUGUGACCAUUAUUAAAUCACAGCCAAAAAAUAUAGUAAAAUUCUUAAAACAAAAUAAGCUAUACAUCCAAAUUCCAAAUACCAGAAAUAUGAGUAUUGGGAUAAAUCUUAUAUAGACCAAGAAAAAAGACAUCCAUAAUGACCCUAACUAAAAGCAAUCCAAUUGCAGAAGUCAAAAUUUUUUAGUCCAUCAGGAGACCUUUUGAGCAUAAGGCCAAAAAGGUGGAACUUCCAUUCCAGCAGUCCAAACUUGAGUUUUAAAAGUUGGAAUAACUAACUUUAAACACUAGACUAUAUGCUCAGCAAACAAGCCACAAUUGGAUAUAUGGAACUGAAAUCUUCUAGAUAUUUUACCAGCCAAAUGAAUAAGAUCAAUAUUUGUGGCAUGAAAAAUCUACGCUCAACAAAAUUGAAUAAAUAAUGGUAACAAAACAUUCCAAUAAG